This 163-nucleotide ribosomal RNA is filed under the name uncultured bacterium. RNAcentral's name for it is "partial 16S ribosomal RNA". It matches the Rfam family "Bacterial small subunit ribosomal RNA", at positions 393 to 539 of the family's 1533-position model. The record is from RNAcentral.
AAUGCCGCGUGAGUGAGGAAGGCCUUCGGGUUGUAAAGCUCUGUCAGAUGGGAAGAAUGUUAUUGGUUCGAAUAGGGCCAAUAAGUGACGGUACCAUCAAAGGAAGCACCGGCUAACUUCGUGCCAGCACCUUCGGUGACUGAGCGGGCUGGCAAGGCGCAUA